This 253-nucleotide ribosomal RNA is filed under the name uncultured bacterium. Its description in RNAcentral is "partial 16S ribosomal RNA". It matches the Rfam family "Bacterial small subunit ribosomal RNA", at positions 524 to 776 of the family's 1533-position model. The record is from RNAcentral.
GACGAACCGUCCAAACGUUAUUCGGAUUCACUGGGCUUAAAGGGUGCGUAGGCGGCUCAGAAAGUAGGGUGUGAAAGCCCUCGGCUCAACCGAGGAAUUGCGCCCUAAACUGCUGGGCUUGAGGAACGCAGAGGUAAGCGGAACUUACGGUGGAGCGGUGAAAUGCGUUGAUAUCGUAAGGAACACCAGGAGCGAAAGCGGCUUACUGGGCGUUUUCUGACGCUGAUGCACGAAAGCUAGGGGAGCGAACGGG